UACGUAGGGGGCAAGCGUUGUCCGGAAUCAUUGGGCGUAAAGAGCGUGUAGGCGGCCAGAUAAGUCCGCUGUGAAAUCUCGAGGCUCAACUUCGAGCUGUCGGUGGAAACUGUCUGGCUAGAGUCCGGAAGAGGAGAAUGGAAUUCCUGGUGUAGCGGUGAAAUGCGCAGAUAUCAGGAAGAACACCCGUGGCGAAGGCAGUUCUCUGGGACGGUACUGACGCUGAGACGCGAAAGCGUGGGGAGCGAACAGG
This 253-nucleotide ribosomal RNA is filed under the name uncultured bacterium. Its description in RNAcentral is "partial 16S ribosomal RNA". It matches the Rfam family "Bacterial small subunit ribosomal RNA", at positions 524 to 776 of the family's 1533-position model. The record is from RNAcentral.